GAUCAUGGCUCAGGAUGAACGCUAGCUACAGGCUUAACACAUGCAAGUCGAGGGGUAGCAGGGUAGACAAUACCGCUGACGACCGGCGCACGGGUGAGUAACACGUAUCCAACCUUCCCAUAACUCAGGGAUAGCCUUUCGAAAGAAAGAUUAAUACCUGAUAGUACUUUUUCAAGGCAUCUUAGAAAAAGUUAAAGAUUUAUUGGUUAUGGAUGGGGAUGCGUUCCAUUAGAUAGUUGGUGAGGUAACGGCUCACCAAGUCUUCGAUGGAUAGGGGUUCUGAGAGGAAGGUCCCCCACAUUGGUACUGAGACACGGACCAAACUCCUACGGGAGGCAGCAGUGAGGAAUAUUGGUCAAUGGGCGAGAGCCUGAACCAGCCAAGUAGCGUGAAGGAAUGAAGGUCCUAUGGAUUGUAAACUUCUUUUAUAGUAGAAUAAAGUGAGCCACGUGUGGUUUUUUGUAUGUAUACUGUGAAUAAGGAUCGGCUAACUCCGUGCCAGCCGCUGC
This 509-nucleotide ribosomal RNA is filed under the name uncultured bacterium. Its description in RNAcentral is "bacterial SSU rRNA". It matches the Rfam family "Bacterial small subunit ribosomal RNA", at positions 15 to 518 of the family's 1533-position model. The record is from RNAcentral.